AUUGAACGCUGGCGGCAUGCUUUACACAUGCAAGUCGAACGGCAGCGCGGGCUUCGGCCUGGCGGCGCGUGUCGCACGCGUGAGUAAUACAUCUGAACGUGCCCCGUAGUGGGGGAUAGCUCGGCGAAAGCCGGAUUAAUACCGCACACGACCUGAGGGUGAAAGCGGGGGAUCUUCGGACCUCUCGCUCUUGGAGCGGCCGAUGGCAGAUUAGCUAGUUGGUGGGGUAAAGGCCUACCAAGGCGACGAUCUGUAGCUGGUCUGAGAGGACGACCAGCCACACUGGGACUGAGACACGGCCCAGACUCCUACGGGAGGCAGCAGUGGGGAAUUUUGGACAAUGGGCGAAAGCCUGAUCCAGCAAUGCCGCGUGUGUGAUGAAGGCCUUCGGGUUGUAAAGCACUUUUGGCGGGAACGAAAAGGACUGUGCCAAUACCACGGUUCGAUGACGGUACCCGCAGAAUAAGCACCGGCUAACUACGUG
This 484-nucleotide ribosomal RNA is filed under the name uncultured bacterium. RNAcentral describes it as "partial 16S ribosomal RNA". It matches the Rfam family "Bacterial small subunit ribosomal RNA", at positions 30 to 507 of the family's 1533-position model. The record is from RNAcentral.